AUGCAAGUCGUGCGAGAACGGGGGCUUCGGCCCCCUAGUAAAGCGGCGCACGGGUGCGUAACACGUGGGCAACCUGCCCAACGGUUCGGGAUAAGCUCUCGAAAGGGGGUCUAAUACCGAAUGAUAUUCAGACGAGACAUCUCGUUUGACUCAAAGACGGUGAAAGCCGUUGCCGAUGGAUGGGCCCGCGGCCCAUUAGCUAGUUGGCGGGGUAACGGCCCACCAAGGCUGUGAUGGGUAGCCGACCUGAGAGGGUGACCGGCCACACUGGGACUGAGAUACGGCCCAGACUCCUACGGGAGGCAGCAGUAGGGAAUAUUGCGCAAUGGGGGAAACCCUGACGCAGCAACGCCGCGUGGGUGACGAAGCUCCUUGGAGUGUAAAACCCUGUCGCCAGGGAAGAAACGGCGGAUGAGGAAAUGCAUUCGCCCUGACGGUACCUGGAAAGGAAGUUCCGGCUAACUCCGUGCCAGCAGCCGCGGUAACACGGGGGGAACGAGCGUUGUUCGGAUUUACUGGGCGUAAAGGGUGCGUAGGCGGGUCAGCAAGUCGGGUGUGAAAGUCCAGGGCUUAACCCUGAAUCUGCAUUCGAAACUGCUGGUCUUGAGUACUGGAGAGGUAAGUGGAAUUCCUGGUGUAGCGGUGAAAUGCGUAGAUAUCAGGAGGAACACCGUUGGCGAAGGCGGCUUACUGGACAGAUACUGACGCUGAGGCACGAAGGUCGGGGGAGCAAACAGGAUUAGAUACCCUGGUAGUCCCGACGGUAAACGAUGGGCACUAGGUGUCGGAGGUAUCGACCCCUCCGGUGCCGCAGUUAACACAUUAAGUGCCCCGCCUGGGGAGUACGACCGCAAGGUUGAAACUCAAAGGAAUUGACGGGGGCCCGCACAAGCGGCGGAGCAUGUGGCUUAAUUCGACGCAACGCGAAGAACCUUACCAAGGCUUGACAUACACCGGAAAACCCUGGAGACAGGGUCCCCCUUGUGGUCGGUGUACAGGUGGUGCAUGGCUGUCGUCAGCUCGUGUCGUGAGAUGUUGGGUUAAGUCCCGCAACGAGCGCAACCCUUGUCCCGUGUUGCCAGCAUGCCCUUCGGGGUGAUGGGGACUCACGGGAGACCGCCGGGGUCAACUCGGAGGAAGGUGGGGACGACGUCAAGUCAUCAUGCCCCUUAUGUCUUGGGCUGCACACGUGCUACAAUGGCCGGUACAAAGAGCUGCGAUGCCGCGAGGCGGAGCGAAUCUCAAAAAGCCGGUCUCAGUUCGGAUUGGGGUCUGCAACUCGACCCCAUGAAGUCGGAGUCGCUAGUAAUCGCAGAUCAGCAUUGCUGCGGUGAUACGUUCCCGGGCCAUGCAACUCACCG
RNAcentral lists this ribosomal RNA (1361 nucleotides) under uncultured bacterium. RNAcentral describes it as "partial 16S ribosomal RNA". It matches the Rfam family "Bacterial small subunit ribosomal RNA", at positions 55 to 1392 of the family's 1533-position model. The record is from RNAcentral.